Molecule: long non-coding RNA, 3273 nt
Organism: Mus musculus (house mouse)
Lineage: Eukaryota; Metazoa; Chordata; Mammalia; Rodentia; Muridae
Product: predicted gene, 30086
Exons: 4
Source: RefSeq, a predicted model, not a curated record
UGGCCUGCCACCCAGCAGAGGUAAUGGAAGAGAAAAGAUAUUAGGAUAUGGGAGAAGUGGACCUGUUCAGCAUUAAUUCUUUGGGGGCAGGCUUGAUCUUUCUCAGCAGUUCAGUCCUCUAGCAAACAUCAAAUAUGACUCAGCCGCUGCAGACCAGCCCUCUAGGCAGGCAGAUAACACACAUGGACUAGCAACUACAGUCCAGUCCUUUUGCAGGCAGACAUCAAGUACAAACCAGCAACUGUAAUUCAAUCCUGAAGAAACCGCGAGACUCUCCAACCAGCCCAAGACAAAGCUGCUGAAAUGGCAAAUUGCCAAAGGAACUUCACGAGCACUCCUUGGACAAAUUUCUCUCUAUGGCAGCGUUGCCACAAUUUGAGCUCAACACAAUAUAAGACAAACCAAUACAUGUGUGUUGUUAGUAAAGAACAGCGAGGCGGAGCAAAUCAAACCAAUGCUCAGUGCCUGUCUCCCACUGUGGGGUCAUAUUUAUACUCCUUCAUCAAGCAUCCUUCCACGUGUUUGCUGUAUCAGAACAUCCUUUUGUUGUGCCCAGAUUGUAAAAACCCCAAAGAGACCACCAGGAAUCACAACCCGAUGUUGUCACAUGAGGGUCUUGAUUCAAGCUCCAGCUUGGGCCACCAACCUUCCUGAUGGAACAGGAAGGAGAGUGAACCCCCAGGUCUAAGCGAAGGGGGUUUAUAAAGGAAAAAAACAGGUUUUCCAAGCCUUGGCCUUCACUCCAUGAGAGGGUAAAGGAAUGCCAUCCUUCAAACCUGAUAGCGUUUGUUCAGAGAGCGGAGCAGAGCCGCGCAGCUGGAGAGGGACCUUUCUGAGCAGGGAAAAGUAACUUAGUGUGCUGUCAGAAGCUGGUGUAUGGUUACAAAGUGGUCAGAUCUGCCUGGGAACACCUCAUUGUCUCUCUCCCAUAGUCCAAGAAGUGGGCCUUUAUCAUUUCAAGGAUAUUGGCUUCUGCUUCCUUCAAGGGCAGGAGCCAUCUGCACCCAGAGGAAUGUUGGUUGUUAAUCAAAAGGAGAUGUGAGUUACAUGGAGAUUAGGUUAUGCUGCUUUUCAUCUGUUCCCAAGGCUGGCAUUUGCCCCCCACACACACCGGGGGUGGGGGGAGUCGUCAGAGGGAGGGAGUGCUAACUGCUCUGGCUCUGCGAAGGGUCGGGAAAGUAUAGGAUUUGAUGCAGGUUUCCUGUGUCUCUUCACUUUCAUCUGUGUCUGCUUCACUAAUGCAUCCUUUCACCUGUGUGCCCCAGCCAAACAUCAUUUAACAUAACUAACUUCCCAAGGAAUCUAGAAGGUUCCACUUCACUUUUGCACCACGAUUGCACCAGCACAUCUUGUAGAUAUGUCACCUUUAUAGGUGACAGGGUUCGUAACAGGGUUGGUGGUUACCUUUCUCCUCGGGUAGCAAGCAGGGUACUUUCCAGUACCAUGAAAACCAGUCAUAGGGAUGAAGGGUCUAGUCCAGCACCAUCUUGACUGCGUGUUUAAUGAGAUAACGUAUGCUUUGUCUUCAGUAAUAGGCCCUUAAUCUCAGUUUGCAGAGACAACCAAUAUCCUGAGUUCUCUGAUGGCUUCCAUGGGGGUCCCUUUGUCCAACAGUUCAAUUAGCUAUAACCUAUUCCUGGCACUAGAGGUUCCACUUGAAGCUAGUCACUGGGUUUUGCCGCAGCGCCAGUAUGAACCUAUCAGCAGGCUCUUUUUCUACAUCACGGAUUCUCACUCCUAAACCCAAACACUGAGAUUUCCAUCAAAUGACGACCCUCUGUUCUCAUAAAUCAUCUGUCACCUUAGACCAGGCAGAUUGGGACUUUCAGUCCCUGCGUAGGCAAAGAUUUGUGCCUCUACUAACCCCAAAGAAGUUGUAGGUGCCAAAUCUUCAGCUUCCAUAAAGUCUUUAAAUUACGUGCUCACAGUCUCAGAGGAGAAAAUACCAACAGUGUAAAAGACAGGGAAGGUACAGAGACACCGGGAAGGGGAGGAGCCCUUUAAUCCAGAGCGUGCUUGAAGCCUUCUGAAGUAAAAUAAGGUAGAAGAUGUAAUCAUUAGAUAUCUAUUUGCUGACUUAUUUAGUGAUUUACUUAAAGCACUGUACUGCCAUUUGCCAAGCAUGGCUUCCCUUGCUACCUGAGAGAAAGAGAUGAAACAACGGGCCGUUGCCCUUAACAACCUUGGGACCGCCACAGACGCUGCUGUAAAACCUCCCUUGAUUGCUCGCUCCACAUUAUGGUUUUAAUGAAUAGAACGAGAAUGAAAACUGCACCCGUACUGAAGCUGUCCUGGCUUCAGCCCACCAAUGACAUCUCCUCCCUUCCACUCUCCUUGGUGUCAGAGUGCUUACUCCAGAACGAUUCCCACAACACUUUCUCGCCAGCUAGUGACGAAAACCACAACGUAAUUAGCAGCAUCUGCUUACUGCUAUCCUCCCUUGCCAGUCUCAAAGCUACAUCGCCAAAACCUCCGCAUGGAACUGCGUCCAUCCUAUUGGCUAGAGGUUCUGACUGAUUGUCAAAGCUCCAGCCCACUGUGGUGGUCCUGGGAAAUACAAGGAAGAGGGAGCCCUAAGCAACAAGCAAUGUUCUUCCAUGACCUCUGCUUCAGUUCCUGCUUCCAGAUUCCUGCUUGAGAGUUCCUGCUGUGACUUUUCUCAGUGAUGGACUGUGAUGUAGACACAUUAGCCAAAUAAGCCUUUUUCAUUGCCAGUUGGUAACUGUUGGGCGGAGCCUAGCAAAGGCACCCUUCACCCACCUGAAGCCUCUCUCCAGCUGAGAAAGUUCCACCACAGCCGCCACCAUCCGUCAUGAAGGUUAACAACAAAGAGACAAUAUUCCUUUUGCAUAGAAAUCUUUUAUGUUAAUCAGCAAUGACCAGGUUCAAGGCCUGUCUGUUUAUGACCAUGUUGGGUAGGGCCCCACUUCUCUCAGAUAUUUUCCUGGUAACCUCACAAACAAGGCUAUUAUUUUUUUACAGUGGUGAACUGUCUUUUGUGCCAGUGAUCCAGCAUUUUCCAUGUCACCCACAAUCCUGUAGAGUAUGGGACCUUUGCAGACCCUUCCAUGAUGAUAGCACCACACACCUACUUACAGGCAGACACCCAUACAUAUGAAAGAAAAAUAAAAAUUUUUAAGAGAGAGACGUGUGUCCCUCUCUUCGUCUAUCAAACGAUCGAGAUCAGGGGUCCCAAGAAUUUGGAACUUCCCCAGGAAUAUCACACUGGAGAGAAAGGUUGAAGCCUACACAGCAAGAUCAAAGGCCUUCUGC